RNAcentral lists this ribosomal RNA (487 nucleotides) under uncultured bacterium. RNAcentral's name for it is "partial 16S ribosomal RNA". It matches the Rfam family "Bacterial small subunit ribosomal RNA", at positions 28 to 523 of the family's 1533-position model. The record is from RNAcentral.
GAUGAACGCUGGCGGCGUGCCUAACACAUGCAAGUCGAACGGUUAAGGCGGCUUCGGCCGCGAAUAAAGUGGCGAACGGGUGAGUAACGCGUGACCGACCUUCCCCCCGCACCGGGACAACCGCGGGAAACCGCGGCUGAUACCGGGUACUCCGGGGCCCCCGCAUGGGGGCCCCGGGAAAGCUCCGGCGGCGGGGGAGGGGGGGUGGGAGCGCGUCCCAUCGGGUAGUAGGUGGGGCAACGGCCCACCUAGCCGACGGCGGGUAGCCGGGUUGAGAGACCGACCGGUCACAUUGGGACGGGGAUACGGCCCAGACUCAUACGGGAAGCAGCAGUGGGAAAUUUUGCGCAAUGGGGGAAACCCGGACGAAGCAACGCCGCGUGCGGGACGACGGCCUUCGGGUUGUAAACCGCUUUCAGCAGGGAAGAACCUUUGACGGUACCUGCAGAAGAAGCCCCGGCUAACUACGUGCCAGCCGCCGCAGUAA